UGGGAUACAAGUGGUUGAGCAGCAAACAGAGAAGCAGCAACUGAGUGUCCGAGACCACAGAUAGACACGGCUAACUUCAGAUGGUGCAGCUUCAGGGAAAGAUCACCUUCUUCCUGCACCAUCCCUUUUCCAAUUCUCCAUCCCACUGAAAACUGCUUUUAUUACCCAAUAAAAUCCUCCACACACACUACCCUUCAACCCAUUCAUGGGACCUCAUUCUUCCCAGAUGCUGGACGAGAACUCAGGUGCCGAGAGGGCAGGGGCUCGGAGGCUGCUGCGGGGCCCACACAGAGCCUGUUCUCACCAGAGAGAAGUGACCCCCGGUUCCAGUAUUCACUCACUCCAGUUCCCGCACUCGCUUGCUUGUGUAGCAGGACAAGCCGCAGACAAAACCCCUCAGACACCGAGUUAAAGAAGGAAGGGUUUUAUUCGGCUGGAAGGUUCAGCAAGACUCACGUCUCCAACAACUGAGCUCCCCAGGUGGUGAUUGACUGAUUCGUGCAUGUCCAUGCAAUUUGGCGCAUUCAGCUGCGUGCUUGCGGAUGUGGAUGUAUUUCACAGAAGCAGCAGCCUGCCUUCCCUUCCCUGGAUUCCAUCUGCUGUGCGAAACAAGAUCUGCAGUCAUUCCCAGGUACGUGGGACUUCUCUAGGCUAGAAGGUCUGUACAGCACAGACCAAGGAACUUCCUUCCUAUGAGGUUUAGUUUAGAAUACAGGAGAGUCAACUCUUUCCCAUGUUGUGACGUUUACCAUGUGCAAUUUACUGUCGGACAAGUUAACCAGACCUGCAUAAAGAAUAUCCAAAAAAUCUGAUCAACAUAGUCAGCUAAUCUAUAGCACUCAGAUCCAUAGUUCUUCCAACCUGUAUAGCCAAAGACUGGAAAUUUUUAUCCCAUUUUGUUCUUUUUCUGAUUU
This 914-nucleotide long non-coding RNA is filed under the name Homo sapiens (human). RNAcentral describes it as "HSALNT0297851". Lineage: Eukaryota; Metazoa; Chordata; Mammalia; Primates; Hominidae. The record is from RNAcentral.